GUUACGGUUCUCUUUGGAACCAUAUAAUAUAAUAAUAUAAUAAACUU
Lottia gigantea (owl limpet) is the source of this 47-nucleotide non-coding RNA. NCBI's taxonomy places the organism in Eukaryota, Metazoa, Mollusca, Gastropoda, Lottiidae. The record is from Rfam.